Molecule: ribosomal RNA, 345 nt
Filed under: uncultured bacterium
Lineage: Bacteria
Description: bacterial SSU rRNA
Rfam family: Bacterial small subunit ribosomal RNA
Source: RNAcentral
CCGCAUGGGAACUCCAACUAAAGAUGGCCUCUACUUGUAAGCUAUCGCUUUGCGAUGGGUCUGCGUCUGAUUAGCUAGUUGGUGGGGCAACGGCCUACCAAGGCGACGAUCAGUAGCCGGUCUGAGAGGAUGAACGGCCACAUUGGAACUGAGACACGGUCCAGACUCCUACGGGAGGCAGCAGUGGGGAAUCUUCCGCAAUGGGCGAAAGCCUGACGGAGCAACGCCGCGUGAGUGAAGAAGGUCUUCGGAUCGUAAAGCUCUGUUGUCGGGGACGAAUGUUGAGGCCUAGAACAUAGGUUUCAAAUGACGGUACCUGACGAGGAAGCCACGGCUAACUACGUG